This 433-nucleotide ribosomal RNA is filed under the name uncultured bacterium. RNAcentral describes it as "partial 16S ribosomal RNA". It matches the Rfam family "Bacterial small subunit ribosomal RNA", at positions 29 to 507 of the family's 1533-position model. The record is from RNAcentral.
AACGAACGCUGGCGGCAUGCCUAACACAUGCAAGUCGAACGAGACCUUCGGGUCUAGUGGCGCACGGGUGCGUAACGCGUGGGAACCUGCCCUUAGGUUCGGAAUAACUCCCCGAAAGGGGUGCUAAUACCGGAUAAUGUCUUCGGACCAAAGAUUUAUCGCCUUUGGAUGGGCCCGAGUUGGAUUAGCUAGUUGGUAGGGUAAAAGCCUACCAAGGCGACGAUCCAUAGCUGGUCUGGGAGGAUGAUCAGCCACACUGGGACUGAGACACGGCCCAGACUCCUACGGGAGGCAGCAGUGGGGAAUAUUGGACAAUGGGCGAAAGCCUGAUCCAGCAAUGCCGCGUGAGUGAUGAAGGCCUUAGGGUUGUAAAGCUCUUUUACCCGGGAUGAUAAUGACAGUACCGGGAGAAUAAGCUCCGGCUAACUCCGUG